AGAUAAACAUCAUCUAUCGUUCAUCCAACAAAGACAUUUUUAUUUCUUAGGCGUAUGUAAAUUUAAGAAUGGUUAUUUACUAUUUGACGUUAAUGAAAUGGAAAUGAGGGUAGUAGUGAUGUUUUCUUUAUUAUUGUGCAUCGUCAACGGUUAUGUGUUUGGUUCCAGUACACAAAAUUCUUUGAAUAUUGACACGAAAGAGACGGAAAUCACUGAUAUCCGAUUGGACGUUAACGUUAUGAAAGAAAACUACCACAAUCUUCUUAAAAGAGUCAUAGAUAACGAAAAAACAGUUGAAUUAUUGAAAAAAGAUAAGCAGUAUUUGACACAUGAAGUUGAAAACUUAAAAAGACAAUUAUCAUGCGAAAUAGAAGUGUUACAUGCUAUUACUGGAGAACAUAAACAAGAGCUGAAUGGAACAAAUGUUGAGUUAAAUCGUACUUUGUAUUCAAUCAACAAAACGGUACAUGAACUGAGCUAUAAUGGUGAUGUGUUAGAAAAUAAGAUACGGUUUCUAGAAUGGCAAAGGACUGAGGAAUGUAUUAAUAAAACAGGAGUCGUCAGUGUCUGUACAUUUGAAUCAACAGUGGACGCAAACUGUCUGUUUUAUAAUGACAAAUCUGGGAUGGACACAUAUGACUGGAUUAGAACUGUGGAUGGUACACCUUCCCUAAAGACUGGACCAAACGGAGCGUUAGCUGGUUAUUACUACAUGUAUAUUGAAACCUCGGAUAUGGAUAACUUUGGCAAUGCUCUUCUUAUCUCAAGCAUCCUCCAUCCAGGUAAUAA
Molecule: long non-coding RNA, 789 nt
Organism: Mytilus californianus (California mussel)
Lineage: Eukaryota; Metazoa; Mollusca; Bivalvia; Mytilida; Mytilidae
Exons: 3
Source: RefSeq, a predicted model, not a curated record